This 1450-nucleotide long non-coding RNA is filed under the name Capsicum annuum. Its description in RNAcentral is "long non-coding RNA (CANN_LNC001045)". The record is from RNAcentral. Lineage: Eukaryota; Viridiplantae; Streptophyta; Magnoliopsida; Solanales; Solanaceae.
CACUUUAUUCAUUUUUAUGGAUGAUGAAUUUUUUUAAAUAAAGAACAGACCAAUGAUCCCUUUUAUUCAAUAUGUAAAUAAACUAUACAUGGGCAAUACACAAAAUCGUGGAAGCCCACAUAAAGAGGUCCCAAAAUGAGAAAGAACAAAUAAGAGAUAAAAGAACAAGAAAAAAUGUAAAGUUUUAUAAAAGAUUAAAAAGUAAAGGGAUCUUCAUCUUUAUAUUCAUCGGCUCAUCGAGAAAUUACUUGUUGUCUGAAGAAAUCUCGAUGAUAAGAGGACAUAAUCAAGCUACUCACACGUUAUUAGUAUUUCAUUCCAAUCUCAUUGAGUUAAGUAAUAUUGCUUAAUAAACACUCAAAUCUCUUAAGAAUGCCAAUAUAAUUUGAUAUGAUUGAAGACUUCAUCUCAUAAGCUACAAAUCUAGUACUAUAUAUAUGCUGAAAUAUCUAGCUUAUCUCCCUCAUCCUCUUGAGUACUCUACAAAUGUAAUCAAGCAUCCCUAUUAAUGUUGCUGACUCUUUUGCACCCUAAUUAUCGACAAAUAAUGCAUUUUCAUUCAUUUGAUGUCUAUUAGUCAAUUGAUGGUGCCCUUUUUUCCUUCAUAGAAUGAGACAUGGUAUAAUACCACAACCAAGAAUUUAGGAACAGGGUUAAUCAGCUAAGUAUCCCACUUCUGUUUGUACAAUCUCUGAGUCAUACAUGUUAUUUAUACUGUUUGUUGUAAGCUACCUUUUUCCUUAGUUUUAUGAACUUGCUAAAAUAUUAAAAGCCCCAUUUUGAUUCUUUAUGAUUCUGAGAUUUGGCAUUUGAAAUUUGUCCAUAUCUAGGAUAGAUAGCUUCAUUUGGUAACUCUUUAUUUGUUGUAUAUCUUAUUGAUUGAGUACCUGCAAAACACAAAAUUAGUUAAAAAGUUGGAAAGCAAGCUUUCUUCUCUAAAUGGACGCUUCACCUUCACCAAUGAAUUCUCCAUUAACUAUUUGGUCUUCCUUAUUUCCGUCGAAAUACACCUAAGAACCUCCCAUAUUCCAUCCAGUACUUUUUUCAAAACCAGUGAGUUAUUCUCUACAAUUGAAGAUAUGCAGUGAUUGUUUAGAUAGAAUUCUAAUCCAAUCCUUAACGAUGUUGCUUCAACUAUACUGAUAAGCCCAUCCUCAAACCUUCUUUCCUGUACAAAGAUAAACUUACCUUCCCAAUCUCUAACAAAAAAUGCACCAGAACAUUCUCCUAUAGUUCCUUUAUAUGAUCCAUCAGGGUUGUACUUUUAGAAACCCUCCUCAGGCACCAUCCACUUCAUUAUUAUUAUUCCAAGAAUUGAAUUAUUAGAGGCCAAGUGGAUGUCAUAUGUAGCAACAAGGGUAUUCAACUUUAACAAUUAAGAAAAUAUUGUUAUUAACCUCUAUGUCCAUUUUCCUGUAAAAGUGUUUGCCUCUAUGAAGAUUGAUAUUCC